UACGAAGGGGGCUAGCGUUGAUCGGAAUCACUGGGCGUAAAGCGCACGUAGGCGGAUGUGUCAGUCAGGGGUGAAAUCCCGGAGCUCAACUUCGGAACUGCCUCUGAUACAGCACGUCUUGAGUCCGGAAGAGGUGGGUGGAAUUCCUAGUGUAGAGGUGAAAUUCGUAGAUAUUAGGAGGAACACCAGUGGCGAAGGCGACUGUCUGGGCCAUUACUGACGCUGAGGCGCGAAAGCGUGGGGAGCAAACAGG
Molecule: unclassified non-coding RNA, 253 nt
Filed under: uncultured Alphaproteobacteria bacterium
Lineage: Bacteria; Pseudomonadati; Pseudomonadota; Alphaproteobacteria
Description: contains 16S-23S intergenic spacer region
Rfam family: Bacterial small subunit ribosomal RNA
Source: RNAcentral